Molecule: ribosomal RNA, 232 nt
Filed under: uncultured bacterium
Lineage: Bacteria
Description: partial 16S ribosomal RNA
Rfam family: Bacterial small subunit ribosomal RNA
Source: RNAcentral
CGGGGUGAGUAACGCGUGGGUAACCUGCCUCGUACAGGGGGAUAACAGUUAGAAAUGACUGCUAAUACCGCAUGAGCGCACAGUGCUGCAUGGCACAGUGUGAAAAACUCCGGUGGUAUGAGAUGGACCCGCGUCUGAUUAGGUAGUUGGUGGGGUAACGGCCUACCAAGCCGACGAUCAGUAGCCGACCUGAGAGGGUGACCGGCCACAUUGGGACUGAGACACGGCCCAA